RNAcentral lists this ribosomal RNA (253 nucleotides) under uncultured bacterium. RNAcentral's name for it is "partial 16S ribosomal RNA". It matches the Rfam family "Bacterial small subunit ribosomal RNA", at positions 524 to 776 of the family's 1533-position model. The record is from RNAcentral.
UACGAAGGGGGCUAGCGUUGCUCGGAAUCACUGGGCGUAAAGCGCACGUAGGCGGAUUGCUAAGUCAGGGGUGAAAUCCUGGAGCUCAACUCCAGAACUGCCUUUGAUACUGGCGAUCUCGAGUCCGGGAGAGGUGAGUGGAACUGCGAGUGUAGAGGUGAAAUUCGUAGAUAUUCGCAAGAACACCAGUGGCGAAGGCGGCUCACUGGUCCGGUACUGACGCUGAGGUGCGAAAGCGUGGGGAGCAAACAGG